GACGAACGCUGGCGGCGUGCUUAACACAUGCAAGUCGAACGGAAAGGCCUGCUUUCCCUUGUGGAUUGCGGGUACUCGAGUGGCGAACGGGUGAGUAACACGUGAGUGAUCUGCCCCCAACUUGGGUAUAAGCCUGGGAAACUGGGUCUAAUUCCCGAUAGGACUGCAGGGUGGUGCCUGUGGUGGAAAACGAUUUUCUAGUGGUUGGGGAUGGGCUCGCGGCCUAUCAGCUUGUUGGUGGGGUAAUGGCCUACCAAGGCGGCGACGGGUAGCCGGCCUGAGAGGGUGGACGGCCACAUUGGGACUGAGAUACGGCCCAGACUCCUACGGGAGGCAGCAGUGGGGAAUAUUGCACAAUGGGCGGAAGCCUGAUGCAGCGACGCCGCGUGGGGGAUGACGGCCUUCGGGUGGUAAACUCCUUUCGACCGCGAGGAAGCCACCUGGUUGGAAGGGUGGUGACGGUAGUGGUAGAAGAAGCACCGGCUAACUACGUG
Molecule: ribosomal RNA, 494 nt
Filed under: uncultured bacterium
Lineage: Bacteria
Description: partial 16S ribosomal RNA
Rfam family: Bacterial small subunit ribosomal RNA
Source: RNAcentral